RNAcentral lists this unclassified non-coding RNA (348 nucleotides) under soil metagenome. RNAcentral describes it as "partial contains 5.8S ribosomal RNA, internal transcribed spacer 2, and large subunit ribosomal RNA". The stretch from base 1 to 120 matches the Rfam family "5.8S ribosomal RNA", at positions 35 to 154 of the family's 154-position model. The record is from RNAcentral.
GAUGAAGAACGCAGCGAAAUGCGAUAAGUAAUGUGAAUUGCAGAAUUCAGUGAAUCAUCGAAUCUUUGAACGCACAUUGCGCCCGCCAGUAUUCUGGCGGGCAUGCCUGUCUGAGCGUCAUUUCAACCCUCAUGCCCCUAGGGCGUGGUGUUGGGGAUCGGCCAAAGCCCGCGAGGGACGGCCGGCCCCUAAAUCUAGUGGCGGACCCGUCGUGGCCUCCUCUGCGAAGUAGUGAUAUUCCGCAUCGGAGAGCGAUGAGCCCCUGCCGUUAAACCCCCAACUUUCCAAGGUUGACCUCAGAUCAGGUAGGAAUACCCACUGAACUUAAGCAUAUCAAUAAGCGGAGGA